RNAcentral lists this ribosomal RNA (495 nucleotides) under uncultured bacterium. Its description in RNAcentral is "bacterial SSU rRNA". It matches the Rfam family "Bacterial small subunit ribosomal RNA", at positions 329 to 840 of the family's 1533-position model. The record is from RNAcentral.
GCCCAGACUCCUACGGGAGGCAGCAGUGGGGAAUAUUGCGCAAUGGGGGAAACCCUGACGCAGCGACGCCGCGUGAAGGAAGAAGGCCUUCGGGUUGUAAACUUCUUUGAUCGGGGACGAAAAUGACGGUACCCGAGGAACAAGCCACGGCUAACUACGUGCCAGCAGCCGCGGUAAUACGUAGGUGGCAAGCGUUGUCCGGAAUUACUGGGCGUAAAGGGCGUGUAGGCGGGGGGACAAGUCAGAUGUGAAAUACCGCGGCUUAACUGCGGGGGUGCAUCUGAAACUGUUCUUCUUGAGUGUCGGAGAGGAAAGUGGAAUUCCCAGUGUAGCGGUGAAAUGCGUAGAGAUUGGGAGGAACACCAGUGGCGAAGGCGGCUUUCUGGACGAUAACUGACGCUGAGGCGCGAAAGCGUGGGGAGCAAACAGGAUUAGAUACCCUGGUAGUCCACGCUGUAAACGAUGGAUACUAGGUGUAGGAGGUAUCGACCCCUU